GACGAACGCUGGCGGCGUGCUUAACACAUGCAAGUCGAACGGACCCUUUGGGGUUAGUGGCGAACGGGUGAGUAACACGUGGGUGAUCUGCCCUGCACUUUGGGAUAAGCCUGGGAAACUGGGUCUAAUACCGGAUAGGACUACGCACUGCAUGGUGUGUGGUGGAAAGCUUUUGCGGUGUGGGAUGGGCCCGCGGCCUAUCAGCUUGUUGGUGGGGUGAUGGCCUACCAAGGCGACGACGGGUAGCCGGCCUGAGAGGGUGACCGGCCACACUGGGACUGAGAUACGGCCCAGACUCCUACGGGAGGCAGCAGUGGGGAAUAUUGCACAAUGGGCGCAGGCCUGAUGCAGCGACGCCGCGUGAGGGAUGACGGCCUUCGGGUUGUAAACCUCUUUCGCCAGGGACGAAGCGCAAGUGACGGUACCUGGAGAAGAAGGACCGGCCAACUACGUGCCAGCAGCCGCGGUAAUACGUAGGGUCCGAGCGUUGUCCGGAAUUACUGGGCGUAAAGAGCUCGUAGGUGGUUUGUCGCGUUGUUCGUGAAAACUCACAGCUUAACUGUGGGCGUGCGGGCGAUACGGGCAGACUGGAGUACUGCAGGGGAGACUGGAAUUCCUGGUGUAGCGGUGGAAUGCGCAGAUAUCAGGAGGAACACCGGUGGCGAAGGCGGGUCUCUGGGCAGUAACUGACGCUGAGGAGCGAAAGCGUGGGGAGCGAACAGGAUUAGAUACCCUGGUAGUCCACGCCGUAAACGGUGGGUACUAGGUGUGGGUUUCCUUCCUUGGGAUCCGUGCCGUAGCUAACGCAUUAAGUACCCCGCCUGGGGAGUACGGCCGCAAGGCUAAAACUCAAAGGAAUUGACGGGGGCCCGCACAAGCGGCGGAGCAUGUGGAUUAAUUCGAUGCAACGCGAAGAACCUUACCUGGGUUUGACAUGCACAGGACGCCGGCAGAGAUGUCGGUUCCCUUGUGGCCUGUGUGCAGGUGGUGCAUGGCUGUCGUCAGCUCGUGUCGUGAGAUGUUGGGUUAAGUCCCGCAACGAGCGCAACCCUUGUCUCAUGUUGCCAGCACGUUAUGGUGGGGACUCGUGAGAGACUGCCGGGGUCAACUCGGAGGAAGGUGGGGAUGACGUCAAGUCAUCAUGCCCCUUAUGUCCAGGGCUUCACACAUGCUACAAUGGCCGGUACAAAGGGCUGCGAUGCCGUGAGGUGGAGCGAAUCCUUUCAAAGCCGGUCUCAGUUCGGAUCGGGGUCUGCAACUCGACCCCGUGAAGUCGGAGUCGCUAGUAAUCGCAGAUCAGCAACGCUGCGGUGAAUACGUUCCCGGGCCU
This 1330-nucleotide ribosomal RNA is filed under the name uncultured bacterium. Its description in RNAcentral is "bacterial SSU rRNA". It matches the Rfam family "Bacterial small subunit ribosomal RNA", at positions 28 to 1381 of the family's 1533-position model. The record is from RNAcentral.